RNAcentral lists this ribosomal RNA (292 nucleotides) under uncultured bacterium. RNAcentral describes it as "partial 16S ribosomal RNA". It matches the Rfam family "Bacterial small subunit ribosomal RNA", at positions 505 to 796 of the family's 1533-position model. The record is from RNAcentral.
GUGUCAGCAGCCGCGGUAAUACGUAGGGGGCGAGCGUUGUCCGGAAUCAUUGGGCGUAAAGAGCGUGUAGGUGGCUUGGAAAGUCUUACGUGAAAGCCUGCGGCUCAACCGCAGAAGUGCGUGGGAAACUUCCUCGCUAGAGUCCGGAAGAGGAGAGCGGAAUUCCUGGUGUAGCGGUGGAAUGCGCAGAUAUCAGGAGGAACACCCGUGGCGAAGGCGGCUCUCUGGGACGGUACUGACACUGAGACGCGAAAGCGUGGGGAGCGAACAGGAUUAGAUACCCCUGUAGUCC